AUGCACGCUGGCGGCGUGCCUAAUACAUGCACGUCGAGCGAACAGACGAGGAGCUUGCUCCUCUGACGUUAGCGGCGGACGGGUGAGUAACACGUGGAUAACCUACCUAUAAGACUGGGAUAACUUCGGGAAACCGGAGCUAAUACCGGAUAAUAUAUUGAACCGCAUGGUUCAAUAGUGAAAGACGGUUUUGCUGUCACUUAUAGAUGGAUCCGCGCCGCAUUAGCUAGUUGGUAAGGUAACGGCUUACCAAGGCAACGAUGCGUAGCCGACCUGAGAGGGUGAUCGGCCACACUGGAACUGAGACACGGUCCAGACUCCUACGGGAGGCAGCAGUAGGGAAUCUUCCGCAAUGGGUGAAAGCCUGACGGAGCAACGCCGCGUGAGUGAUGAAGGUCUUCGGAUCGUAAAACUCUGUUAUUAGGGAAGAACAAAUGUGUAAGUAACUAUGCACGUCUUGACGGUACCUAAUCAGAAAGCCACGGCUAACUACGUG
Molecule: ribosomal RNA, 496 nt
Filed under: uncultured bacterium
Lineage: Bacteria
Description: partial 16S ribosomal RNA
Rfam family: Bacterial small subunit ribosomal RNA
Source: RNAcentral